Lentinula boryana is the source of this 81-nucleotide non-coding RNA. Lineage: Eukaryota; Fungi; Basidiomycota; Agaricomycetes; Agaricales; Omphalotaceae. The record is from the annotation of a GenBank genome assembly.
UCCCUGGUAGUAUAUCGGUUAGUACACGCGCCUGUCAUUUAUUAGACGCGCGAAAGCUGGGUUCGACUCCCAGCCAGGGAG